CGACCCUCUCACACGCACCCCCUUAGAGCUGUGAGCCCUUAAAAGGGACAGGAAUUGCUCACUCGGGGAGCUCGGCUCUUGAGACAGGAGUCUUGCCGAUGCCCCCGGCCGAAUAAACCCCUUCCUUCUUUAACUUGGUGUCUGAAGAGUUUAGUCUGUGGCUCAUCCUGCUACAUUUCUUGGUUGCCUUACAGGGAAGCGAGGUGAUCGGCGGAUGGUUGAGGCAGCUCCACAGAUGGCUUAAGCCUGCCCUGUUGAACAUUCCUGCAGGGACUCUGACCAGCCCGAGCUACGCCAAUCCUGAGAGCACUCCCGGGUAGGCAUUUGCCCCGUUGGGACACCUCGCCAGAGCAGUGUGUGGCAGGCCCCCAUGGAGGAUCAACGCAGUGGCUGAACACCAGGAAGGAAAAGGCACUUGGAGUCUGGACAUCUAAAACUUGAAUUUCCAGUAAACCAGCACCAGCCUGAAGAUCACGUUCUCAUCAAAGGGUGGAAAGAAGAAAAACUCGAGCCAGCCUGGGAAGGACCCUACCUUGUGCUGCUAACCACCAAGACUGCUGUUCAUACAGCAAAAAAAAAAAGAAAACAAAAGGAUGGACUCAUCACACCCAAGUCAAGAAAGUGCCACCCCCUCCAGGAUCGUGGGCCAUAGCCCCAAGGGAAAACCCUACCAAAUUAAAGCUAAGAAAAAUGUA
Long non-coding RNA from Symphalangus syndactylus (siamang), 695 nucleotides. RefSeq lists it as uncharacterized. The record is from RefSeq and is a predicted model, not a curated record. NCBI's taxonomy places the organism in Eukaryota, Metazoa, Chordata, Mammalia, Primates, Hylobatidae.